RNAcentral lists this transfer RNA (93 nucleotides) under Anopheles epiroticus. Its description in RNAcentral is "tRNA tRNA-Tyr". It matches the Rfam family "tRNA". From Rfam's summary of the family: Transfer RNA (tRNA) molecules are approximately 80 nucleotides in length. Lineage: Eukaryota; Metazoa; Arthropoda; Insecta; Diptera; Culicidae. The record is from RNAcentral.
CCUUCGAUAGCUCAGUUGGUAGAGCGGUGGACUGUAGAGUACAAAAGUCACAUAGUCAUCCAUAGGUCACUGGUUCAAAUCCGGUUCGAAGGA